GCAUAUCAAUAAGCGGAGGAAAAGAAACCAACCGGGAUUACCUCAGUAACGGCGAGUGAAGCGGUAAAAGCUCAAAUUUGAAAUCUUCGGAAUUGUAAUUUGUUGGCCGAGAGCAGUGAGGCUUUAAAGUCUGCUGGAACGCAGCGCCAUGGAGGGUGAUAGCCCCGUCGGCACACACAAUAAGCUCUCGCGCCUAAGAGUCGGGUUGUUUGGGAAUGCAGCUCAAAGUGGGUGGUAAAUUCCAUCUAAGGCUAAAUAUUGGCGAGAGACCGAUAGCGAACAAGUACAGUGAUGGAAAGAUGAAAAGCACUUUGAAAAGAGAGUGAAACAGUACGUGAAAUUGUUGAAAGGGAAGGGUGUGAAGUGGGGUGCAGAGAUGCGCAGUAGUGAGUCAAACCUUUGGCGGCUUGCGACUACGUGUUUUUGACCCACUUCCCACCACCCGUCUUGAAACACGGACCAAGGAGUCUAACAGUUGUGCGAGUAUUAGAGUUUGAAACUCGGAUGCGAAACGAAAGUAACUGGUCAAGCCUGCCCCAAGACUUUGUUCUUGGAGGAAGCACAACCGUUGGGACCCGAAAGAUGGUGAACUAUACCUGGAUAGGGUGAAGCCAGAGGAAACUCUGGUGGAGGCUCGUAGCGGUUCUGACGUGCAA
RNAcentral lists this ribosomal RNA (656 nucleotides) under Metschnikowia aberdeeniae. RNAcentral describes it as "LSU rRNA". It matches the Rfam family "Eukaryotic large subunit ribosomal RNA", at positions 38 to 896 of the family's 3401-position model. Lineage: Eukaryota; Fungi; Ascomycota; Pichiomycetes; Serinales; Metschnikowiaceae. The record is from RNAcentral.